RNAcentral lists this long non-coding RNA (1222 nucleotides) under Volvox carteri. RNAcentral's name for it is "long non-coding RNA (VCAR_LNC002071)". Lineage: Eukaryota; Viridiplantae; Chlorophyta; Chlorophyceae; Chlamydomonadales; Volvocaceae. The record is from RNAcentral.
GAACACGCAAACCACGCAAGUUGGAUGAAAUCGCUGCACAGGCGGUUGUGGAGCUGGUGCAGGCCGAUGACCAAGCUUUUGCUCACCGACCUGGCCUUGGCUAUGACAAACUUACUGGGCACUCAUUGCGCUGACAGACGAAGCCAUAUCGGCCGCAAGCCAUUUCAGCAUGUUUUCGCUUGCGAUCAGCCAUAGCCGACAGACACGGAAGUCACAAAUGCGCACUGUUUACGCCCUAAAGGCGCGAAUCACGUAUGUAUUCGCGUAUAAAGAUGGGCGAUUUCCUUGCGACUUUGCAAGCCGUACGCAUCGCCUCGCACCCGUACUUUGUUUUGCAACCACCAUAAAACCAAGUUUUUUUCUAGGUCGCAUACCAAGCAUACCAGUAAUAUUGUAUGUGAUACCUACUUCGCCUAGAUCAGGAACCUAAUUCCUUACCUGCCUACACUGCACCUCUGGAAACCGUAGUGCCAACAAAAAUUGGUGACAGAAAUUGUGGUGACGGCCUUAAAAAGUCCUGGAAUUUUGCAAUGAUUCUUGCAAUGGGUGCUGGCCCGGAGAUCGUUUUGCAAAUGUGUGACGAAUAUUGGUGACGGCCGCAUCUGCCGCAUGACAAGCCGUCGUACCGUUCACGUUUUGGCCUUGCUUGAUCACCAAAAAAAGCUAGGCCAGUGAAGGCUUUUCCGGGGCAACAUGAUCAAUGAGGAGCUGGCGAAGCAAAUAUUUCGGUUCCGUUAAUACUUCCAACACACUCCACCAUACCCCGUGCCGUAAACACAGAUUGAAUAGAGGUGAAGGUAGUUGCCGUAGGAAACUCCACCAAUGUUCGCACCACAGCGUCGCAGAACUAGUGAAGCACCUUGCAGCACGCAGUCCCUGCAGACACUCCGAACAUAUGUUCGAUGGUGGGGAAACCCACUUGGUUCGUGAAUUUGUAUAGUGCAAUGGCAGCUUUGUGCUCGGUGUAAGGGGCUCCCUGAAGUUGGAUGCCCCACCAGCGAGGCGGCUCCCCAGGUGCCCAACAAGGAGCUUACAAGACGAGCGUGUCAGCCGAAAGUUAUCCUCAAACUUGUUGUCAGGACAUGACUUGUUGUCAUGUCAGUUGACGCGGUGGAUGAUAUUGUUUGGUACAGUAUUGCACAAGCGAUCCUGCGCAAUUGGUGUUUGCAAGUUAGGUUGAUGGUGUGUGCGUUGAUAUAAGUUGUUGGGGUGUUACACUGUG